UGGCGGACGGGUGAGUAAUGUCUGGGAAACUGCCUGAUGGAGGGGGAUAACUACUGGAAACGGUAGCUAAUACCGCAUAACGUCGCAAGACCAAAGAGGGGGACCUUCGGGCCUCUUGCCAUCGGAUGUGCCCAGAUGGGACUAGCUAGUAGGUGGGGUAACGGCUCACCUAGGCGACGAUCCCUAGCUGGUCUGAGAGGAUGACCAGCCACACUGGAACUGAGACACGGUCCAGACUCCUACGGGAGGCAGCAUG
RNAcentral lists this ribosomal RNA (256 nucleotides) under uncultured bacterium. RNAcentral describes it as "partial 16S ribosomal RNA". It matches the Rfam family "Bacterial small subunit ribosomal RNA", at positions 96 to 353 of the family's 1533-position model. The record is from RNAcentral.